This 1498-nucleotide ribosomal RNA is filed under the name uncultured bacterium. RNAcentral's name for it is "bacterial SSU rRNA". It matches the Rfam family "Bacterial small subunit ribosomal RNA". The record is from RNAcentral.
AGAGUUUGAUCCUGGCUCAGAUUGAACGCUGGCGGCAUGCUUUACACAUGCAAGUCGAACGGUAACAGGGGCUUCGGCCCGCUGACGAGUGGCGAACGGGUGAGUAAUGCAUCGGAAUGUGUCCUGUAGUGGGGGAUAACUCCGAGAAAUCGGAGCUAAUACCGCAUACGUACCGAGGUAGAAAGCAGGGGAUCGCAAGACCUUGCGCUAUAGGGGCAGCCGAUGCCGGAUUAGCUAGUUGGUGGGUAAAGGCCUACCAAGGCGACGAUCUGUAGCGGGUCUGAGAGGAUGAUCCGCCACACUGGGACUGAGACACGGCCCAGACUCCUACGGGAGGCAGCAGUGGGGAAUAUUGGACAAUGGGGGGAACCCUGAUCCAGCCAUGCCGCGUGUGUGAAGAAGGCCUUAUGGUUGUAAAGCACUUUAAGCGAGGAGGAGGCUACUGAGACUAAUACUCUUGGAUAGUGGACGUUACUCGCAGAAUAAGCACCGGCUAACUCUGUGCCAGCAGCCGCGGUAAUACAGAGGGUGCGAGCGUUAAUCGGAUUUACUGGGCGUAAAGCGUGCGUAGGCGGCUUUUUAAGUCGGAUGUGAAAUCCCCGAGCUUAACUUGGGAAUUGCAUUCGAUACUGGGAAGCUAGAGUAUGGGAGAGGAUGGUAGAAUUCCAGGUGUAGCGGUGAAAUGCGUAGAGAUCUGGAGGAAUACCGAUGGCGAAGGUAGCCAUCUGGCCUAAUACUGACGCUGAGGUACGAAAGCAUGGGGAGCAAACAGGAUUAGAUACCCUGGUAGUCCAUGCCGUAAACGGUGUCUACUAGCCGUUGGGGCCUUUGAGGCUUUAGUGGCGCAGCUAACGCGAUAAGUAGACCGCCUGGGGAGUACGGUCGCAAGACUAAAACUCAAAUGAAUUGACGGGGGCCCGCACAAGCGGUGGAGCAUGUGGUUUAAUUCGAUGCAACGCGAAGAACCUUACCUGGCCUUGACAUACUAGAAACUUUCCAGAGAUGGAUUGGUGCCUUCGGGAAUCUAGAUACAGGUGCUGCAUGGCUGUCGUCAGCUCGUGUCGUGAGAUCUGGGGUUAAGUCCCGCAACAAGGCAACCCUUUUCCUUACUUGCCAGCAUUUCGGAUGGGAACUUUAAGGAUACUGCCAGUGACAAACUGGAGGAAGGCGGGGACGACGUCAAGUCAUCAUGGCCCUUACGGCCAGGGCUACACACGUGCUACAAUGGUCGGUACAAAGGGUUGCUACACAGCGAUGUGAUGCUAAUCUCAAAAAGCCGAUCGUAGUCCGGAUUGGAGUCUGCAACUCGACUCCAUGAAGUCGGAAUCGCUAGUAAUCGCGGAUCAGAAUGCCGCGGUGAAUACGUUCCCGGGCCUUGUACACACCGCCCGUCACACCAUGGGAGUUUGUUGCACCAGAAGUAGGUAGUCUAACCGCAAGGAGGACGCUUACCACGGUGUGGCCGAUGACUGGGGUGAAGUCGUAACAAGGUAACCGU